CAGGCUUAACACAUGCAAGUCGAGGGGCAGCAUCAUCAAAGCUUGCUUUGAUGGAUGGCGACCGGCGCACGGGUGAGUAACACGUAUCCAACCUGCCGACAACACUGGGAUAGCCUUUCGAAAGAAAGAUUAAUACCGGAUGGUAUAGUUUUCCCGCAUGGGAUGAUUAUUAAAGAAUUUCGGUUGUCGAUGGGGAUGCGUUCCAUUAGGCAGUUGGCGGGGUAACGGCCCACCAAACCUACGAUGGAUAGGGGUUCUGAGAGGAAGGUCCCCCACAUUGGAACUGAGACACGGUCCAAACUCCUACGGGAGGCAGCAGUGAGGAAUAUUGGUCAAUGGACGAGAGUCUGAACCAGCCAAGUAGCGUGAAGGAUGACUGCCCUAUGGGUUGUAAACUUCUUUUAUACGGGAAUAAAGUGAGCCACGUGUGGCUUUUUGUAUGUACCGUAUGAAUAAGGAUCGGCUAACUCCGUGCCAGCAGCCGCGGUAAUACGGAGGAUCCGAGCGUUAUCCGGAUUUAUUGGGUUUAAAGGGAGCGUAGGCGGGUUGUUAAGUCAGUUGUGAAAGUUUGCGGCUCAACCGUAAAAUUGCAGUUGAUACUGGCGACCUUGAGUGCAACAGAGGUAGGCGGAAUUCGUGGUGUAGCGGUGAAAUGCUUAGAUAUCACGAAGAACUCCGAUUGCGAAGGCAGCUUACUGGAUUGUAACUGACGCUGAUGCUC
RNAcentral lists this ribosomal RNA (721 nucleotides) under uncultured Bacteroidales bacterium. RNAcentral's name for it is "bacterial SSU rRNA". It matches the Rfam family "Bacterial small subunit ribosomal RNA", at positions 43 to 754 of the family's 1533-position model. The record is from RNAcentral. Lineage: Bacteria; Pseudomonadati; Bacteroidota; Bacteroidia; Bacteroidales.